RNAcentral lists this non-coding RNA (30 nucleotides) under Mus musculus (house mouse). The record is from RNAcentral. Lineage: Eukaryota; Metazoa; Chordata; Mammalia; Rodentia; Muridae.
UNGCAGAGUAUAUUCCCAAAAGCCAUCGGU